UUCUCUAAAUACCAGCUGAUUCCCUUAUUUUUCAGGGUAUUGCCUUGCUCAGGUUUCAAGGGUUACAGUCAGCAGAAAAAGCCUGCAUCGGACGCAUGUGUCCUGAGAGCAUUCUGAGUUGAAAUAAACAUCCCUGUGUUUCCAUCUCUGCAUGCUUUUCUGAAGUAUAAUUGUUGGGUCGAAAGCAGCUUCAGGAACUGCUUGUCUUCAUAGUCAAAGCGGCUUCCAAAGACGACAGAACUGAUGACAUUUGAGACAGUGCGGCUCAGGAAGAAGCUGGGAUGUGGAAUUGAUGGCUGGAGCUCUAGCAGUCAUUUGCAUCAUGACAUGAUCUUGGGAAUGGAAAACACACAUCAUAGAACAAGAGAGAAGAGCCAGACCCUGUGGAGCACCCUACACUGACAACCUCUGAAAGUGUCCAAUAUAUGGCAAAGAUCACCAGGACAGACAUGUGGCAGACAGGAAGAGGUAAAAACCUCUCAGAUGUCCAUGUUACCAGGAAGAAGGAACCGUCCUUGGCCAUGGGCCCUGGAAUCAGAGAUCCUGGGAUUCAGCCUCUUCAGUAACCUGAAUACCUUUGGAUUAAAAUCCUGGGGGUUGGAUCCCACGUGGGAGUUGCCACAGGUGUGGAGUUUAUGUAACUUCUAGUCUCCUCUGAGCUCACUGUUGAGUGCUGUGUCUUCAUCCCCCCCCCCAGCCCCUCCUCACUCAUGUCAGCACCCUCCAAUUUUGAGAACAGGUCCAAGGUCACGGAAUAUUCUAGGGUCAGGGAGAACCAGGUUUGAGCUCUGCCUCUGCUUCUUUAUUGGUGAGUGUGACUUUGAACAAGACACCUAAUUUCUUUGAGCCUCAGUUUCCAUUCCCAUAAAAUGAGAUACCCAUAACAGUACCUUCCUUGCCAAACCUGGAUGUUUGUGCAGAUUGGAUGUAUUUAAAGCUGUCAGCACUGUGGCAUUACUAUCACUCAACAACCAAUUCUUUCUAAUCCGGGGUCCUCAGCCCUUUGAAAUCUCUUCUCAGGAAUUUACUGUAACUGGGGACACUGGAGAGGGCAGAGAGACUGAGCAGGGCUGAGUGCAGACUAUAGUCAGUGGCAGGUCAUAGACAGACCACAGCACAGACCGCCAGUGGGUGCUAGACCAGCAGGGAGAAGAGGUGGGGGCUGCCCAUUCCUGAGCAUCUUCUAUGCGCCAGUUCUGUGCUAGAUUCCCGACUGUCGCACUCAUAUGGAUCUUCACGUCUUUGUGCAUCAUUUCCAUUUUACACAUGGACAGGCUGAGGCUUGCCCAGGUUACAGGGCUCUCAGGGGCAGAGUUAGGAU
Molecule: long non-coding RNA, 1321 nt
Organism: Leopardus geoffroyi (Geoffroy's cat)
Lineage: Eukaryota; Metazoa; Chordata; Mammalia; Carnivora; Felidae
Exons: 5
Source: RefSeq, a predicted model, not a curated record